Long non-coding RNA from Hippocampus zosterae (dwarf seahorse), 363 nucleotides. RefSeq lists it as uncharacterized. Lineage: Eukaryota; Metazoa; Chordata; Actinopteri; Syngnathiformes; Syngnathidae. The transcript has 2 exons. The record is from RefSeq and is a predicted model, not a curated record.
GGCGCCCAUGCCCAGGAGGCGGGCCAGACCUUCACGCACGCAAUCCAGCAGCCCCGAUGACGACUCGUCGCGCACGAUCUCGCUCUGCGGAGUCACGGGAAGUCACAUCACCAUCCUCCCAAGUUCAACGAAAGGAAUGGAUGAAGGCCUCACCUGCACGGUCUCGAUCAGGCUGGAGCAGUAGAAAGGAAGCGCCACCACCGCAGUCAAACUGCCAACAGGAAGUCACACUUGGUGUCAAAACAAAGGUACCGGCGAUGGUCGAUACAAAAUGUGAUGCUCUCCGGCGAUUGACGAAACUGUUGCCGUUUUCCGAUUAAUACGUCUAAAAAGAGAAAAAAAAAACAACCAAACAAAUACAAA